Non-coding RNA from Cordylochernes scorpioides, 68 nucleotides. The record is from the annotation of a GenBank genome assembly. NCBI's taxonomy places the organism in Eukaryota, Metazoa, Arthropoda, Arachnida, Pseudoscorpiones, Chernetidae.
UGCAUCUGCCGGGAAUCGAACCCGGCCCGGGUGGCAGGCGAGCAUUCUCGCCACUGAACAAUCGAUGC